RNAcentral lists this ribosomal RNA (459 nucleotides) under uncultured bacterium. RNAcentral describes it as "partial 16S ribosomal RNA". It matches the Rfam family "Bacterial small subunit ribosomal RNA", at positions 338 to 795 of the family's 1533-position model. The record is from RNAcentral.
CCUACGGGUGGCAGCAGUGAGGAAUAUUGGUCAAUGGACGAGAGUCUGAACCAGCCAAGUAGCGUGAAGGAUGACUGCCCUAUGGGUUGUAAACUUCUUUUAUAUGGGAAUAAAAUGUUCCACGUGUGGGAUUUUGUAUGUACCAUAUGAAUAAGGAUCGGCUAACUCCGUGCCAGCAGCCGCGGUAAUACGGAGGAUCCGAGCGUUAUCCGGAUUUAUUGGGUUUAAAGGGAGCGUAGGUGGAUUGUUAAGUCAGUUGUGAAAGUUUGCGGCUUAACCGUAAAAUUGCAGUUGAAACUGGCAGUCUUGAGGACAGUAGAGGUGGGCGGAAUUCGUGGUGUAGCGGUGAAAUGCUUAGAUAUCACGAAGAACUCCGAUUGCGAAGGCAGUUCACUGGACUGCAACUGACACUGAGGCUCGAAAGUGUGGGUAUCAAACAGGAUUAGAUACCCGAGUGUC